UUUUUUUUUUUUUUUUUUUACCUCUAAUGAAGGCAAGUAAUUAAGAGGAAAAGGUUUGUUUAAUUAAAUAGGUCACAAGGUUGCAUGUUUUGCUGCCUCUUCAUACUCUUUGCAGUCUCUUCCUCCACUUUGUCUCUUCCUUUUAAAUCUUCUGUAAUAUAUGUACUGAAGAAUUAUAAAUAAGUCAAGGAGGACACAAACAACAGCAUCAAGCAGCCAUGGCAUAUUGGCUUUGAUCUUCUCCCAUUCUGUACUUCUCACUAAAAUGCUUGCUACAUAAGUAGCAUUGGCAAUCAAGGCAAACACAAACAUAAGAGGAUUCAGCCCCUCCACACUUCCUCUUUUGAUAUUUAGCCAAAUCUGAGGGAGCCUACCACCCAUAUAAAUAGCAGCCAUAAGCCAACCCAACAAUUGGCCAAAACCACUAUGACUUGGAUGUUCUUGUAAAAGUUUCCUUCCACUAAAUCCAUCUGAGAAGCCCUUGCUUUGGAAUGGCAAAUUUGCUGAUGAAACUAAAAAUGUUCCAUACCCAACCGAUCGAGGAAUGGGCCUAGGCUGGGUGACUGUGGAAUGGGAGAAGACGGCGGCGGUUUCGGAUUCAUCGUCGGAAGAGGAGCUGUCGUUGCCGAGGGCAGAGGGCCCACUUUUCGGUAGGCGGAGAAACGCCCGAAACGGCGGCGUGUCGCUUCCGGCCAACGAUCGAGCUGACGUGUAGUAGAAUUCUCGGCGAGGAGUUGGCUUCGGCGAAGCUUUCGGAAUUGGAAUUCCGGCAUAACUAACCACUUUACUGCUUUUCAACGGCGUUUUUUCCUCUUCCGCCGUUUGGUGAGAUUUCCCCUUCCGGUCGCUACACCAUCUAGUGACGUAAUCAUAAUAAACACUCUGCAGUACCAAAACUAUCGUAUUCACUGUGUACAGCAGUGCUGUGUAGAGCUGAGUGGGGAGCGUGGCUGGUUCGAGAAGGCAGCCCACAAGAUUAAAGGCGUCACCGGCGACCCAAGUGAGGAGGAAGAGAAGGGAGACGCCAUGGCUGGAUUUUGUACGGAAAUUGGUAACGAUUUGAGGUAUCUCAGCAAGCCCCCAACAGACCAGACUUACAAGCCCCAACCCGAACGACAUGUCGUCUCUCAGAUUGCAAAGACAGUCCUUGAAAUAGGUUUCCACCCAUCCCACGCAUCGCUUCUGCUCCUUCACACAAUACCAACCC
RNAcentral lists this unclassified non-coding RNA (1207 nucleotides) under Hevea brasiliensis (rubber tree). Lineage: Eukaryota; Viridiplantae; Streptophyta; Magnoliopsida; Malpighiales; Euphorbiaceae. The record is from RNAcentral.